CCUACGGGAGGCAGCAGUGGGGAAUAUUGGGCAAUGGGCGCAAGCCUGACCCAGCAACGCCGCGUGAAGGAAGAAGGCUUUCGGGUUGUAAACUUCUUUUGACAGGGAAGAGUAGAAGACGGUACCCGUCGAAUAAGCCACGGCCAACUACGGUCCAGCAGCCGCGGUAAUACGGAGGUGGGAAGCGUUGUCCGGAUUUACUGGGUGUAAAGGGCGUGUAGCCGGGUUGACAAGUCAGAUGUGAAAUCCCGCGGCUUAACCGUAGAACUGCAUUUGAAACUGUUGAUUUUGAGUACUGGAGAGGCAGACGGAAUUCCUAGUGUAGCGGUGCAAUGCGUAGAUAUUAGGAGGAACACCAGUGGCGAAGGCGGUCUGCUGGACAGCAACUGACGGUGAGGCGCGAAAGCGUGGGGAGCAAACAGGAUUAGAUACCCGAGUAGUC
This 442-nucleotide ribosomal RNA is filed under the name uncultured bacterium. Its description in RNAcentral is "partial 16S ribosomal RNA". It matches the Rfam family "Bacterial small subunit ribosomal RNA", at positions 338 to 795 of the family's 1533-position model. The record is from RNAcentral.